RNAcentral lists this ribosomal RNA (554 nucleotides) under Planococcus sp. LL38. RNAcentral's name for it is "bacterial SSU rRNA". It matches the Rfam family "Bacterial small subunit ribosomal RNA", at positions 142 to 676 of the family's 1533-position model. Lineage: Bacteria; Bacillati; Bacillota; Bacilli; Caryophanales; Caryophanaceae. The record is from RNAcentral.
GGCUACUCCGGGUAACCGGUGCUAAUACCGAAUAGCUUAGCGCUCUCUCACUUGGAGCGCUACUGAAAGACGGUUUCGGCUGUCACUGCUGGAUGGGCCCGCGGCGCAUUAGCUAGUUGGUGAGGUAACGGCUCACCAAGGCGACGAUGCGUAGCCGACCUGAGAGGGUGAUCGGCCACACUGGGACUGAGACACGGCCCAGACUCCUACGGGAGGCAGCAGUAGGGAAUCUUCCGCAAUGGACGAAAGUCUGACGGAGCAACGCCGCGUGAGUGAAGAAGGUUUUCGGAUCGUAAAACUCUGUUGUGAGGGAAGAACAAGUACCAGCUAACUACUGGUACCUUGACGGUACCUCACCAGAGAGCCACGGCUAACUACGUGCCAGCAGCCGCGGUAAUACGUAGAUGGCAAGCGUUGUCCCCGAAUUAUUGGGCGUAAAGCGCGCGCAGGCGGUCCUUUAAGUCUGAUGUGAGAGCCCACGGCUCACCGUGGGAGGGGUCAUUGGAAACUGGGGGGACUUUAGUGCGGAAGAAGGAGAGUGGAGUUCCCCGUGU